This 424-nucleotide ribosomal RNA is filed under the name uncultured prokaryote. Its description in RNAcentral is "bacterial SSU rRNA". It matches the Rfam family "Bacterial small subunit ribosomal RNA", at positions 355 to 796 of the family's 1533-position model. The record is from RNAcentral.
UGGGGAAUCUUAGACAAUGGGGGAAACCCUGAUCUAGCCAUGCCGCGUGAGUGACGAAGGCCUUAGGGUCGUAAAGCUCUUUCGCCAGGGAUGAUAAUGACAGUACCUGGUAAAGAAACCCCGGCUAACUCCGUGCCAGCAGCCGCGGUAAUACGGAGGGGGUUAGCGUUGUUCGGAAUUACUGGGCGUAAAGCGCGCGUAGGCGGAUUAGUCAGUCAGGGGUGAAAUCCCGGGGCUCAACCCCGGAACUGCCCUUGAUACUGCUAGUCUUGAGUUCGAGAGAGGUGAGUGGAAUUGCGAGUGUAGAGGUGAAAUUCGUAGAUAUUCGCAGGAACACCAGUGGCGAAGGCGGCUCACUGGCUCGAUACUGACGCUGAGGUGCGAAAGUGUGGGGAGCAAACAGGAUUAGAUACCCCCGUAGUCC